UACGUAGGUGGCGAGCGUUGUCCGGAUUUACUGGGCGUAAAGGGAGCGUAGGCGGACUUUUAAGUGAGAUGUGUAAUACGCGGGCUCAACUUGGGUGCUGCAUUUCAAACUGGAAGUCUAGAGUGCAGGAGAGGAGAAUGGAAUUCCUAGUGUAGCGGUGAAAUGCGUAGAGAUUAGGAAGAACACCAGUGGCGAAGGCGAUUCUCCGGACUGUAACUGACGCUGAGGCUCGAAAGCGUGGGGAGCAAACAGGAUUAGAUACCCU
Molecule: ribosomal RNA, 265 nt
Filed under: uncultured prokaryote
Description: partial 16S ribosomal RNA
Rfam family: Bacterial small subunit ribosomal RNA
Source: RNAcentral